AAUUAAUGUUAGUCAUACUAUUUAUGUACAUUUCAUUUGCUCUCAAUUCUUGCUUCUAAGUUAUUGGAUCCCUCAUUGACCAUUGUGUGAUGUUCUCGACACAUUCUUAUUCUUAUAUGUUCAUUCUUAUUUUUUGCACAGGUGAAGUGUGAAUCCAAGUCCGAAGGUGUGAAGCAUAUCAGCAAAGAGUAGCAUAUUAUG
Molecule: long non-coding RNA, 201 nt
Filed under: Hordeum vulgare
Lineage: Eukaryota; Viridiplantae; Streptophyta; Magnoliopsida; Poales; Poaceae
Description: long non-coding RNA (HVUL_LNC006779)
Source: RNAcentral